CUCUCAUGCACUGCGAAGUAGUUGCCGUGCGUGAAACAACUCGGUCAGGGAACGAACGUUUUCACAAGUGAACUUGACGCUUUUUGGAUUCAUCAAUGAGCUCGUCCAGGCACUUGUAGCUGCUUGGAGUGAAGACGGGACUGGGAGACCGCUACCAGGAAAACGACCAGUUUUUUCUUUCAGUCUGGAUUCAACAUGAAAUUCUGGAUUUGUGUACUCGCUGUCAGCUGGGCAGUUGAAGCGACACACGGGG
Salvelinus sp. IW2-2015 is the source of this 253-nucleotide long non-coding RNA. RefSeq lists it as uncharacterized. The record is from RefSeq and is a predicted model, not a curated record. NCBI's taxonomy places the organism in Eukaryota, Metazoa, Chordata, Actinopteri, Salmoniformes, Salmonidae. The transcript has 3 exons.